AACACGUGAGCAACCUGCCCUCCACUUCGGGAUAAGCCUUGGAAACGGGGUCUAAUACCGGAUAUGAGCAUCUGCCGCAUGGUGGGUGUUGGAAAGUUUUUCGGUGGGGGAUGGGCUCGCGGCCUAUCAGCUUGUUGGUGGGGUGAUGGCCUACCAAGGCGUCGACGGGUAGCCGGCCUGAGAGGGCGACCGGCCACACUGGGACUGAGACACGGCCCAGACUCCUACGGGAGGCAGCAGUGGGGAAUAUUGCACAAUGGGCGAAAGCCUGAUGCAGCGACGCCGCGUGAGGGAUGACGGCCUUCGGGUUGUAAACCUCUUUCAGCAGGGAAGAAGGCCUUCGGGUGGACGGUACCUGCAGAAGAAGCGCCGGCUAACUACGUGCCAGCAGCCGCGGUAAUACGUAGGGCGCAAGCGUUGUCCGGAAUUAUUGGGCGUAAAGAGCUCGUAGGCGGUCUGUCGCGUCUGGUGUGAAAACCCGAGGCUCAACCUCGGGCUUGCAUCGGGUACGGGCAGACUAGAGUGCGGUAGGGGAGACUGGAAUUCCUGGU
Molecule: ribosomal RNA, 551 nt
Filed under: Isoptericola sp. EGI80240
Lineage: Bacteria; Bacillati; Actinomycetota; Actinomycetes; Micrococcales; Promicromonosporaceae
Description: bacterial SSU rRNA
Rfam family: Bacterial small subunit ribosomal RNA
Source: RNAcentral